This is a long non-coding RNA of Oreochromis aureus, 1753 nucleotides long. RefSeq lists it as uncharacterized. The record is from RefSeq and is a predicted model, not a curated record. The transcript is spliced from 3 exons. NCBI's taxonomy places the organism in Eukaryota, Metazoa, Chordata, Actinopteri, Cichliformes, Cichlidae.
GACAAAUACAAUGGGCAUGUGGUCAGAGAAUGUAGCAUCCUUGACAUGUAAGUUACAGACAGGUAACCCAUGAUAUGAUAACAUCAAGUCAAACAUGUGUGACUAUGUUCUUGAGUGCCACCCUUAACAGAUUAAAUAAAAUUAAAAGAGCUUACGAAGUCCAUGAAGUCCUUAACCAGGGGGGCUUCCCUGGGCAACAGAUGUGGAUAUUAAAAUCACAGAGUAGCAGGAUCUGGUCAUAUUGUGAUGCACUGUCAGCGAGAAUGUUAGAGAACUGAGAUUAAAAAAAAAUCCUCAUUAUAUUUAGGAAGCAGUUAAACCACUGCACACAGCAGCGAUUAGCCCAGUUCACACAAACAAAGUUCAAAGGUGGUGUAGCAUCUUCUUGAGGAUAGCUGCUUAAAGGCGAAGUGUGCUUUAAAAACAACAGCUAACCCUCCGGCACAACCAGAAGAUCUCGGAGCGCUAAAAUAAGCACAGCCAGCUGGCAGUAGUUAAGAAAAGGUGCUUAACUCACACAGGUGAAGUCCAAGUUUCUGUCAGACAGAGGAAAUCCAAUGCAUGGGAAGAAAAGACAUUUUCAUUUGCCACUGAUCUGACAUUUAUUAAACCCAACCUGAGGGGAGCUGGGUCGGAGACUUCCCUGCAGCAACAACCUGAGCCACAGGUCGAAUGUUGGAUUAAGCCACUCCCCACCAACGCAAAUGGCGAAGAGGCAGGAAUUGAAGAGGGCUCCUCUUGAUAGAGCCAACAAAGGGAACCAACCAGGAGCCCGCAGGAUCCACGCCAUUGCACCAGGAGUCAUGGAAAAGAUUAAUGAAUGAAGUGAAGAUCGUUGGGAAGGUAAGAAAUCCAGAGUCUCAGCUUAGCGAGGUGACCUCCACAGGUACCCCGUCUCCUGCGUCCCUUCGCGUAGAUGGUGGUGGUAUGGGAAUCCAGCACAAUGGUAUUGCUUCCAGAUGAGGAGGCAGAGAAUCUUGGCUGCCUUUGUCAAGCAGAGCUAAAACUUUGGGACAUGAACCUAUUUUCAGUUUCUGGCAAUUACAAGACAGUGUGGAACUGAGAUGUUGUACAACGUUGGCUAAAAAAUAGAAAAUGAGACAAAUAAGAGAGAGCGGUAGAUGGCGUGCCAACCACAGGUGCCAUCUUGAAUCACACCAAUAACAACAAUUAUUACAUUACAUUAAAAUGUAGGAAUGCUGACAAAAUGGUUUUUUUUCUUGAGUAAAUUUCCAAUGACAAUUUUUAACAGUAAUUGAUCUUAAAUUUGGUUCAUUUCAGCAGAAGAAAACACGACAUACUGCAACAUCAAAACAUCACACUGUCAAAAUCAACCAAUCAAGAAAUGCAGAGGGAGUGAUCCAGCUGCAGUUUACUCAAACUGGUGAGAUCACUUAUGAAGAAAUCAUGUUGAAAGAAAGCCAAAAUAAAGACUUUAAACCAGAGCCAGACGUCGUCUACUCUUCACUGAAGUAGUCCACCAGUCCAACCACUGAUGUCCAGCUGCUGGUCUCUAUCUGGUUCCCCAGCACCUCAGACAAGGAGACAUCCACAAGUUCAAAAGAUUACUCUGAUAUUUACAUAUUUUUUCCACUUAUUUAGUCUCAUAUGCUUUAAAAACUUACAUAAGGUUAACUGGAAUUACUUUAGUACUUAAAAUAAACAAUGAUAAUAAAGUCACUCUAUGAGUUUGGCACUUUGUUCUGUUUCCCGUAAUAGUGAUUUUUUUUUUUUUUACUAUAGGAUUAAUAAA